This 371-nucleotide ribosomal RNA is filed under the name uncultured bacterium. RNAcentral describes it as "bacterial SSU rRNA". It matches the Rfam family "Bacterial small subunit ribosomal RNA", at positions 527 to 896 of the family's 1533-position model. The record is from RNAcentral.
GUAGGGGGCAAGCGUUGUCCGGAUUUAUUGGGCGUAAAGAGCGUGUAGGCGGCCAGACAAGUCCGUUGUGAAAACUAGAGGCUUAACCUCUAGACGUCGAUGGAAACUGUUUGGCUAGAGUCCGGAAGAGGAGAAUGGAAUUCCUGGUGUAGCGGUGAAAUGCGCAGAUAUCAGGAAGAACACCCGUGGCUAAGGCGGUUCUCUAGUACGGUACUGACGCUGAGACGCGAAAGCGUGGGGAGCGAACAGGAUUAGAUACCCUGGUAGUCCACGCCGUAAACGAUGGGUGCUAGGUGUGGGGGGUGUCGACUCCCUCCGUGCCGAAGCUAACGCAUUAAGCACCCCGCCUGGGGAGUACGGCCGCAAGGCUA